UACGUAGGGGGCCAGCGUUGCUCGGAAUUACUGGGCGUAAAGGGUUCGUAGGUGGUGCGGCAAGUUGGAAGUGAAAUCUCUGGGCUUAACUCAGAGGCUGCUUUCAAAACUGCCGUGCUCGAGUGCGGGAGAGGCCAGUGGAAUUGCAGGUGUAGCGGUGAAAUGCGUAGAUAUCUGCAGGAACACCCGUGGCGAAGGCGGCUGGCUGGACCGCAACUGACACUGAGGAACGAAAGCUAGGGGAGCAAACAGG
RNAcentral lists this ribosomal RNA (253 nucleotides) under uncultured prokaryote. RNAcentral's name for it is "partial 16S ribosomal RNA". It matches the Rfam family "Bacterial small subunit ribosomal RNA", at positions 524 to 776 of the family's 1533-position model. The record is from RNAcentral.